ACCCGCUAAAGACUAAAGGAAAUAAGCAGGCACUUGAGGAUUUACGUGUAAUUUGGUUUUAAAUGAACAUCUUGUGCAGAAGAAGAGGCAAUUUGGCACCUGCUGCUGCGCCUACCGUAGUGCCUUAGCCUCCUCAGCCGUCCACCAUCUUCAAGUCUCCACCUCAGCUCGCUCCUUCCAACCUCCCAUGAGUCAAACGGAAUCCGCUGCACCUCGGACAAGCUGGCAGAGCCUGGGAGUGGAGAGCAGCUUGAACUGUCAGGGAAGAUCAGCGGUGAGGAAUCUUGCCUUUCAGACUUCAGGCUGCAGAGUGGGAGUCAUUAACAUUGGAAAAUGGAAUCGAUGACCACAGAACGGAACAGAGGACCUCAGCGUAUCUGCAUGUAACAUCACGCGAUUACUGUGGUCCAUGUGUUGGGGAAGAGUACUCAUUGGCUUCGAAGGAUCCUCAUGUUGGACAUGGGGUAGUCAUUCCUGCAGGAACAGGGGCAGAUUUGUUACAGUGAAGGAGUGUGUACAGGUUAAAGGAAGGACAUGGACCAGACAGAGAACACAUAGGCUCCAAAGAAAAGCUACACGGGACCACAUGGUUCAGACUGCGACAUUUGUAAGUUUUCCUCAGGAGCUGCUUUCCAGGAGAGCUUGGAGCUCCCCUCCUCUCAUUCUGUCCCAUGAACAUCCUGCUCCAUCUGCUGCAGAAAUCCUUCCCUUACGUGCCCCACUCACCAUUUCUGUCUGGACUGGAAAUGUGAGCUAACUCGUCUCCCCUUGCGUUUUGGGAGAUUGUACUUCUUCAGUCAUUCAUGCAAUGAUCAAGUUUGACUUGAGACUCAUUUCUACUUGUUGGGGAGAGGUUGAAGAUUUUGAAUCUGUCUUCUAUGUGUUAGUCCUGCAGAUGUUUCAAGGCAGACUUGACAAUUUUAAUCCUCUUGCCCCCAGACUGAGCAUGCCCAGUUUGGUAUCAAGGUUGUUACUACCAGUCAUAUUGGUGUCAUUUGUAGGUCACAUUUGAGUGAAGGGCAGAACUUUGAGCAUUGGCUAUUUGCCAGCUCAAUCCCCUUCAACAUUAUCAAGUCUCAUGUUCAACCUGUGAGCUGAAAAUGCUUUUGUUUUAUGAAAGAGGAAAAAAUAAAGAAACUUGUGAGGUGUAGAGAUUAGGCCAAGGUCAUGUAGUUAGAAAUGAACAGAAGUGGUACAUUAACCUUUUAUCAAAGACAUGUUCUGUUCUCCUGGAAUGUCACCAGGGCUUUGACAAUAGUGAACCCAAGGUACAGGCAUGUCAUCUCUAACUAAACAUGAUUUUUAUCUCUACAGUCUCAUGUCUUGUUUGCUAGAAACUUCUCCCUCUCCCAUCUCCCUCUCCCUCUCCUUUUCCUGAUUGUAUAUAGAUUGUAAGAACAUAGGUUUUUACAUUUUAGA
Long non-coding RNA from Apodemus sylvaticus (European woodmouse), 1419 nucleotides. RefSeq lists it as uncharacterized. Lineage: Eukaryota; Metazoa; Chordata; Mammalia; Rodentia; Muridae. The record is from RefSeq and is a predicted model, not a curated record. The transcript is spliced from 6 exons.